Molecule: ribosomal RNA, 460 nt
Filed under: uncultured bacterium
Lineage: Bacteria
Description: partial 16S ribosomal RNA
Rfam family: Bacterial small subunit ribosomal RNA
Source: RNAcentral
CCUACGGGUGGCAGCAGUGAGGAAUAUUGGUCAAUGGGCGCUAGCCUGAACCAGCCAAGUAGCGUGAAGGAAGACUGCCCUAUGGGUUGUAAACUUCUUUUAUGUGGGAAUAAAGUGCAGUAUGUAUACUGCUUUGCAUGUACCUUAUGAAUUAGGAUCGGCUAACUCCGUGCCAGCAGCCGCGGUAAUACGGAGGAUCCGAGCGUUAUCCGGAUUUAUUGGGUUUAAAGGGAGCGUAGGCGGGUGGUUAAGUCAGUUGUGAAAGUUUGCGGCUCAACCGUAAAAUUGCAGUUGAUACUGGCAGCCUUGAGUACAGUAGAGGUAGGCGGAAUUCGUGGUGUAGCGGUGAAAUGCUUAGAUAUCACGAAGAACUCCGAUUGCGAAGGCAGCCUGCUGGACUGUAACUGACGCUGAUGCUCGAAAGUGUGGGUAUCAAACAGGAUUAGAUACCCGGGUAGUC